Molecule: long non-coding RNA, 4527 nt
Filed under: Homo sapiens (human)
Lineage: Eukaryota; Metazoa; Chordata; Mammalia; Primates; Hominidae
Description: HSALNT0221052
Source: RNAcentral
UUUGUGGGUGCCAGUGUGUGAGUGUGUGUGUGUGUGUCCUCACUAAAUAUUAUAGUUAAAGUGAAAUUCACAAGUCCUCCAGCUGUGGCUGACACUGGUAUAAAAUGAAAAGGUUGAGAAGGUGAGACUAGUUGUCAUACAGCAACCUUGAAGUGCCUUUCCGGGUGGCACUGCCUGCUAUGUGAAGGCUCAUUUGCUGAAUGACCAUCACUACGUCAACACAAAUUGAGAUCUCAGCAUUGAUUUAUCGGUGUGUGUCCCAGAAAGACACACUGCAUUUCAGCAUCACGGUAUUCUGAUGUAGUUAGGUUCUGAAUUCUCUGAGCCACAGACGAUGGUAUGUUUCUCCUCUCUGAAGCUCUGCUAAUGCCUCGUCCCUAUUUCCCUGAAAUAUGGUUUCCCCCAUCAGUUUUCAACCUUUUCGUUUCCCCAGGCAAUCUUUUGAUGAUUCUUUAAGGUCCCCAGAUCCACAGAAUGUGACAGCUGGGAUGAGCUUCCGGGGGUGCCGAUUGGAAGCUUUACAGGCUCUAAAACUUGCUACUGAAUCUCAGCUCUGGCAUUAGUCGGUGUUCUUUGAUUUCAGGAGGACAUAGCAAACGAGCUGAGGAAGGUGAAUGCUGCAACCCUCUCUCCUCAGCCCUGCAGCCGAUCCCUGACAUAAACUCCUUGAAGUUCAGUGGCCUCUUUCCAUGCACCUACCACCUACACCUGCUGCUUUCAAAGAAACCACAACCUGGACCGGGAACAGAACUGGACGUGCCAAAAUGCCUGAGGACACUUCAUCGAAUGUGGCUGGCUUGAUGGGAAGCUGGCAUGACUAGAAAUGUCAGGAGUCUUCCCUCUCGAGGUUUCAAGCUUUGUGUUUCUGACUCAAUGGUCCGGAUUGAGAUCAGAUGAGUCAAGUUCAGAUGACCAUGCAAACCUUUAGAUGGGGCCUAAAACCAAAUCUGUGUUCUCAAACCAUUCCAAAUGUGUUCAUCACCAGUUAUAGUUUACCAUACCACCCAAUCCAAGAGAGUGCAGUCAUUUCUCUAAUAGCAGAUGCAUAAUUUUCUCAUCAAUGGAAAAUCUAAGUGUACAUCACAAGGUCAAAAGUUGCGAGAAACUUGACACCUUCGAGAUUGUGCCAAACCUCAAGCUUGCAGUAAUAAGGGCUCUCAGUCAAACCUUCUGAGAAUGAAGUGUAUUUGACCCAACGUUUAGCAUAAGCAAGCACGUACUAUGCUGUCCCUUUACGAUGGCUGAAUUCUUGGCUAGACUAUGAAGGAACACAACAGCCUAAGCAAAGCCUAUAUAAAACAUCAACCCACGGUCAUGGCCCAAUGAGAUAUAGAGAUAUUGUUGAAAUCCAAGAAAGUGAAACAAAAAUCCUGAGCCUUAUUCGCUAAAUUCCCUUAAUUGUGACACACUAAACAAGUAACAGUCAUUAGUUCUAGUAUCAUGUAAGUACAACAUUCUAAAAUGGCUACUACAGAUAUCAAAAGCAUUAAUUCAAUGUACACUUACUGGGCACCCACUGUGUGCUAGGGGAAGUGUGCUAGGGUAAUGGAGAUUCACCAUGGAACUUCCUUUUAUUUUCCCUCACUGCCUUUCUCUUUUCAAAUAUUUAAUGACCAUCCACUGCGUCCCAGAAGUUGCCAGGCCUGGGGCAGGAGAUUCUCUCUCCUUAAGGCCCCUGUGUCCCAGCUGGGAGUGACAGAUACAUCAACCAAUAAAUAACAUGGUGGGAAAAGUCCAUUAAUAAUGAUGUGCACACAGUCCUUAGGGGUAUCCUUGACCAUCAUGCUCCAGCUUAGAUCUCUGAAAACGACCUUUUGGCUGUUACUGAGGAUGUCAGCAAUAAAACUGGAUCCUAAAGAAACCAUUCAUGAUGAUAUAUCCUUAUUGGAAUUGACAAUGCAUGAGGAAAUCACACAUGUAGGUCCCAACUGAUAAAGCAUUAUCCAUCCAUUAAGUUAGACAGGAGAGGUGGCUUAAUGUCAAUAACAUAUCUCAGAAAAAAAAUGUGCUUAUCUCUUGAUUUUUGUAGAUCAAAUCCCACUAGAGGAAUUGGGUAUGUUUGUAGACCCAACCACUUACAUUGAUAAGGCAGUUUUCAAAGUGCUUUUAUAAGUAUUUGCUCAUUGGGUCCUCAGAGUAACCCUGGAGGUAGCUGGUGGCUCACCAGUGUGGCAUGGUUGUGAUGAGGACUACUGUACCAUGCUCUUCGUCAAGCAAAAGGCAGACAGUCACUCUCCACCUUUUUAUAGAUAGAUUGACUGAUUGAUUGAGAUGAGUCUCACUAUGUUGCCCAGGCUGGUCUUCAACUCCUGGGCUCAAGUGAUCUCUCUGCCUUAGCCUCACGAGUACCUGAGACUACAGGUGCGAGCCACCAUGCCUGGCUCAUUCUUCAUUUUAAAAGCAUAAUAAAUACUCUUUAAAAAUUCCAAGGAACGAGAUGUCCCUCUAAACUGCCUUCUUCCUCUUCGUGUAAUUUGACAUUAAGUGUCCUGGUGUGUUAAGCUUGCCUCUAUUUAAAUAGCCCUGCAGAAGGCCAUACCACUCAGGCUUAAGGGGACAGAAGGUACUCUGUCCUGGAAGCAUCAUGACACUAAAAGUUCAUUAAGAUCUCUAUCCCAGCUAUUACACUCCUAAGGUCACUGGGCUCUCCUCAAUAGGUAUAUUAAGCAGCAGCCUCAAAAACAGUCCUCAGUUUUAGGAUGCAAGGAAAAUAAUUCACGAAGGUGAUCAACUUUAAGUUCAAAUUAUAUUCACUCUAGAUUUUAUCAUGGCUCCUGCCCAUGAAUAUACCAUCUUCCAUUCACAUCUAAGGCAACUAGUUCAGGGUGAGAGGAAAUGGGCACUUUAUGAACAUCUGCUAUAUACAAAUCUUUACCCACCUUUUUCCUCCUUUAGAAUUUUUCUAACUCAGUGGACUCUCCAUGAUUCAAAGGAAGUCCUUGAUUUUCACUCCUUCUCACAAGGUUACCUCUUACAGGUAACAGUACCCUCUUGCCUGCAAAGGUCAGGACAAGAGGAUAGAGGAAAAAGCUAAGGGAAUCUCAGAACCGUUUAUGUGCUAAAAUUCUUAGCUUAGAUGUAUAGAUGGACAAGGAAAAGUGGGCAAGAGAAAGUAAAACUAAAAUUUAGGCAAGGAAGCCAAUUACCCAGUAAAGAGGGAGGCUAGCAUCCUAGCAUGAGAGUAUCAGACCAGACUAUCUCAGACCCUUAGUCUUGUGGAUCAAGGCACUGAUGGAGGGCACUGUAGAAAAGUGUUGAAAGCAAUAUGGCAGACACUACUGGAUUGGCAAAUUGCAUCCGCUCCUACCAAAGGAUCACACUCCCAGAAGCUAAAGGAAAGAAAUGGAGAGUGGGAGGUGUAUUUUGGGUAAAAAAGAAAAAGAAGCGCUUGUAUGAAUUUUCAUGUUAUUUCAGUGAAGUCAUAAUAGAACAGCUUCCCUUCCCAGAGCUUGCCCAGAACAGCUAUUUAAAGGGGGAGUGAGAACUGUACAAGCUUUGACUAGAUUCUGAGGUCGGAGCCUUAAUUAGAGUCACAAUUGUAUUGUACAUCUAUUUGUGUAACUGUUCAAUUAGGAGUGUAAUAGCUGGGACAGAGAUCUUAAUGAGCUUUUAGUGUCAUGAUGCUUCAAGACUGCCCUUUUUUGGUUGUUGUUAUUAUUAAGCUUUCAUAUAGGGGCUUUUCCUCUCUGCUGUCCAACUGUGUGGUUCUCCCUUCAGGCAGGUUGAAAUGCAAGACUGAGUCUUGCUAUAUCUAAACUUGGGCAUUAAAAAUGGGCUGUCUUCCCCUUAUCAUCUUCAUGAUUAGCUUGUAAACAGUUUCUUGGGUCUAUCCUGUUAUCAACAAAAACUCUAGGAAUACUGGAAUAUUAGGGCCAAUCUUUUACAGUUGAGAUAAUUGAGAUUCAGAAAGAUGAAGUGAACUACUGGACACAGCACAGAUAGUGACAGAGCCUGGGCUUGCACAUUAGUGUUCUGACCUUUCAGGAACAAAACAAUCACAAUGCCUGUACAUGUCAUAAUAAGGUCAUUCUAACACUACAAUGUACACCAGUACCCAAACUGGAUCAUUCAUUUAAAAAAAAUUCAUUCCCGAAGACAUAGUUUUUGUGGUCUUAAUAGGUAUUUUACUUAAUUUUCCUCUGCCUUUCACUACUUAGACUUGGGUACAAUUAAAGAUGAUAUUUAUAUUUUGUGUUAUAUAGAAUGAACAGCACUCAAACACAUUCUUAUUUAAGCAAAUCUGGCCUACGAAAAGCUGUAUUCAUGAACCCUCACCAAAUAAAUGGUGAGGAUGGUUUUUUGUUUUGGCUUUAGAAAAUGAUUCUCUGCCUUAAUUCCCUCACAUGUAAAAUAGGCAUAAUACUGCCAUCUACCUUACAGGAUUGUUGGGAAGAUUAAAUGAAGUAAUGCAGUUAAACUGUUUAGUAGACUGUUUCGCAGAGCUUCAAACUCAGUCAAUACUAGCUGCUUUUGUUCUUAUUCUUUUCAUUAUCACAAAAGGGUGGCCAGAAGAUUAUGCAUGCCAAC